UACGGAGGGUGCGAGCGUUGUUCGGAAUUACUGGGCGUAAAGAGCGUGUAGGCGGUAUGGUAAGUCAGAUGUGAAAGCCCUGGGCUUAACCCAGGAAGUGCAUUUGAUACUGCUAUUCUUGAGUAUGGGAGAGGUGAGUGGAAUUCCCAGUGUAGAGGUGAAAUUCGUAGAUAUUGGGAGGAACAUCCGUGGCGAAGGCGACUCACUGGACCAAUACUGACGCUGAGACGCGAAAGCGUGGGGAG
This 245-nucleotide ribosomal RNA is filed under the name uncultured bacterium. RNAcentral describes it as "partial 16S ribosomal RNA". It matches the Rfam family "Bacterial small subunit ribosomal RNA", at positions 524 to 768 of the family's 1533-position model. The record is from RNAcentral.